This 466-nucleotide ribosomal RNA is filed under the name uncultured bacterium. RNAcentral describes it as "partial 16S ribosomal RNA". It matches the Rfam family "Bacterial small subunit ribosomal RNA", at positions 28 to 507 of the family's 1533-position model. The record is from RNAcentral.
GAUGAACGCUGGCGGCGUGCUUAACACAUGCAAGUCGAACGAUGAAGCCCAGCUUGCUGGGUGGAUUAGUGGCGAACGGGUGAGUAACACGUGAGUAACCUGCCCUUAACUCUGGUAUAAGCCUGGGAAACUGGGUCUAAUACCGGAUAGGAGCGUCCACCGCAUGGUGGGUGUUGGAAAGAUUUAUCGGUUUUGGAUGGACUCGCGGCCUAUCAGCUUGUUGGUGAGGUAAUGGCUCACCAAGGCGACGACGGGUAGCCGGCCUGAGAGGGUGACCGGCCACACUGGGACUGAGACACGGCCCAGACUCCUACGGGAGGCAGCAGUGGGGAAUAUUGCACAAUGGGCGCAAGCCUGAUGCAGCGACGCCGCGUGAGGGAUGACGGCCUUCGGGUUGUAAACCUCUUUCAGUAGGGAAGAAGCGAAAGUGACGGUACCUGCAGAAGAAGCACCGGCUAACUACGUG